UACGGAGGAUGCGAGCGUUAUCCGGAUUUAUUGGGUUUAAAGGGUGCGUAGGCGGGAUGCCAAGUCAGCGGUAAAAAUGCGGUGCUCAACGCCGUCGAGCCGUUGAAACUGGCGUUCUUGAGUGGGCGAGAAGUAUGCGGAAUGCGUGGUGUAGCGGUGAAAUGCAUAGGUAUCACGCAGAACUCCGAUUGCGAAGGCAGCAUACCGGCGCCCUACUGACGCUGAGGCACGAAAGCGUGGGUAUCGAACAGG
RNAcentral lists this ribosomal RNA (252 nucleotides) under uncultured bacterium. RNAcentral's name for it is "partial 16S ribosomal RNA". It matches the Rfam family "Bacterial small subunit ribosomal RNA", at positions 524 to 776 of the family's 1533-position model. The record is from RNAcentral.